UUCGGGGUACACGAGCGGCGAACGGGUGAGUAACACGUGGGUGAUCUGCCCUGCACUUCGGGAUAAGCCUGGGAAACUGGGUCUAAUACCGGAUAUGACCUCCUAUCGCAUGGUGGGUGGUGGAAAGAUUUAUCGGUGCAGGAUGGGCCCGCGGCCUAUCAGCUUGUUGGUGGGGUAAUGGCCUACCAAGGCGACGACGGGUAGCCGACCUGAGAGGGUGACCGGCCACACUGGGACUGAGACACGGCCCAGACUCCUACGGGAGGCAGCAGUGGGGAAUAUUGCACAAUGGGCGAAAGCCUGAUGCAGCGACGCCGCGUGAGGGAUGACGGCCUUCGGGUUGUAAACCUCUUUCAGCAGGGACGAAGCGCAAGUGACGGUACCUGCAGAAGAAGCACCGGCUAACUACGUGCCAGCAGCCGCGGUAAUACGUAGGGUGCAAGCGUUGUCCGGAAUUACUGGGCGUAAAGAGUUCGUAGGCGGUUUGUCGCGUCGUUUGUGAAAACCAGCAGCUCAACUGCUGGCUUGCAGGCGAUACGGGCAGACUUGAGUACUGCAGGGGAGACUGGAAUUCCUGGUGUAGCGGUGAAAUGCGCAGAUAUCAGGAGGAACACCGGUGGCGAAGGCGGGUCUCUGGGCAGUAACUGACGCUGAGGAACGAAAGCGUGGGUAGCGAACAGGAUUAGAUACCCUGGUAGUCCACGCCGUAAACGGUGGGCGCUAGGUGUGGGUUCCUUCCACGGAAUCCGUGCCGUAGCUAGCGCAUUAAGCGCCCCGCCUGGGGAGUACGGCCGCAAGGCUAAAACUCAAAGGAAUUGACGG
Molecule: ribosomal RNA, 822 nt
Filed under: uncultured bacterium
Lineage: Bacteria
Description: bacterial SSU rRNA
Rfam family: Bacterial small subunit ribosomal RNA
Source: RNAcentral